AAUAGAUACCCUGGUAGUCCAUGCCGUAAACGAUGUCUACUAGCCGUUGGGGCCUUUGAGGCUUUAGUGGCGCAGCUAACGCGAUAAGUAGACCGCCUGGGGAGUACGGUCGCAAGACUAAAACUCAAAUGAAUUGACGGGGGCCCGCACAAGCGGUGGAGCAUGUGGUUUAAUUCGAUGCAACGCGAAGAACCUUACCUGGCCUUGACAUACUAGAAACUUUCCAGAGAUGGAUUGGUGCCUUCGGGAAUCUAGAUACAGGUGCUGCAUGGCUGUCGUCAGCUCGUGUCGUGAGAUGUUGGGUUAAGUCCCGCAACGAGCGCAACCCUUUUCCUUACUUGCCAGCAUUUCGGAUGGGAACUUUAAGGAUACUGCCAGUGACAAACUGGAGGAAGGCGGGGACGACGUCAAGUCAUCAUGGCCCUUACGGCCAGGGCUACACACGUGCUACAAUGGUCGGUACAAAGGGUUGCUACACAGCGAUGUGAUGCUAAUCUCAAAAAGCCGAUCGUAGUCCGGA
RNAcentral lists this ribosomal RNA (520 nucleotides) under uncultured bacterium. Its description in RNAcentral is "bacterial SSU rRNA". It matches the Rfam family "Bacterial small subunit ribosomal RNA", at positions 777 to 1297 of the family's 1533-position model. The record is from RNAcentral.